CAGGCUUAACACAUGCAAGUCGAGGGGUAAGGUUCAGCUUGCUGAACACACGACCGGCGCACGGGUGAGUAACGCGUAUGCAACCUGCCUUUAACUGGAGCAUAGCCCGAAGAAAUUCGGAUUAAUACUCCAUAACAUCAUAAUUUCGCAUGUUAUUAUGAUUAAAGCUCCGGCGGUUAAAGAUGGGCAUGCGUGACAUUAGAUAGUUGGUGAGGUAACGGCUCACCAAGUCAACGAUGUCUAGGGGGUCUGAGAGGAUGGUCCCCCACACUGGUACUGAGACACGGACCAGACUCCUACGGGAGGCAGCAGUGAGGAAUAUUGGGCAAUGGGGGCAACCCUGACCCAGCCAUGCCGCGUGCAGGAUGACGGCCCUAUGGGUUGUAAACUGCUUUUAUACGGGAAGAACCACAUCUACGUGUAGGUGUUUGACGGUACCGUAAGAAUAAGCAUCGGCUAACUCCGUGCCAGCAGCCGCGGUAAUACGGAGGAUGCAAGCGUUAUCCGGAUUUAUUGGGUUUAAAGGGUGCGUAGGCGGAAUAAUAAGUCAGUGGUGAAAUCCUGCAGCUUAACUGUAGAACUGCCAUUGAUACUGUUGUUCUUGAGUAUAGUUGAGGCAGGCGGAAUGUGUAAUGUAGCGGUGAAAUGCUUAGAUAUUACACAGAACACCGAUUGCGUAGGCAGCUUGCUAAACUAUAACUGACGCUGAGGCACGAAAGCGUGGGGAGCGAACAGGAUUAGAUACCCUGGUAGUCCACGCUGUAAACGAUGAUAACUCGUUGUUGGCAAUACAUCGUCAGCGACUGAGCGAAAGCAUUAAGUUAUCCACCUGGGGAGUACGGUCGCAAGAUUGAAACUCAAAGGAAUUGACGGGGGCCCGCACAAGGCGGUGGAACAUGUGGUUUAAUUCGAUGAUACGCGAGGAACCUUACCUGGGGCUUUAAUGCAGAACGACGUUUCGGGAAACCGAUUCUCCCUUCGGG
This 983-nucleotide ribosomal RNA is filed under the name uncultured bacterium. RNAcentral's name for it is "bacterial SSU rRNA". It matches the Rfam family "Bacterial small subunit ribosomal RNA", at positions 43 to 1024 of the family's 1533-position model. The record is from RNAcentral.